This 1277-nucleotide ribosomal RNA is filed under the name Escherichia coli. Its description in RNAcentral is "partial 23S ribosomal RNA". It matches the Rfam family "Bacterial large subunit ribosomal RNA", at positions 606 to 1869 of the family's 2925-position model. The record is from RNAcentral. Lineage: Bacteria; Pseudomonadati; Pseudomonadota; Gammaproteobacteria; Enterobacterales; Enterobacteriaceae.
UUUUGUAUAAUGGGUCAGCGACUUAUAUUCUGUAGCAAGGUUAACCGAAUAGGGGAGCCGAAGGGAAACCGAGUCUUAACUGGGCGUUAAGUUGCAGGGUAUAGACCCGAAACCCGGUGAUCUAGCCAUGGGCAGGUUGAAGGUUGGGUAACACUAACUGGAGGACCGAACCGACUAAUGUUGAAAAAUUAGCGGAUGACUUGUGGCUGGGGGUGAAAGGCCAAUCAAACCGGGAGAUAGCUGGUUCUCCCCGAAAGCUAUUUAGGUAGCGCCUCGUGAAUUCAUCUCCGGGGGUAGAGCACUGUUUCGGCAAGGGGGUCAUCCCGACUUACCAACCCGAUGCAAACUGCGAAUACCGGAGAAUGUUAUCACGGGAGACACACGGCGGGUGCUAACGUCCGUCGUGAAGAGGGAAACAACCCAGACCGCCAGCUAAGGUCCCAAAGUCAUGGUUAAGUGGGAAACGAUGUGGGAAGGCCCAGACAGCCAGGAUGUUGGCUUAGAAGCAGCCAUCAUUUAAAGAAAGCGUAAUAGCUCACUGGUCGAGUCGGCCUGCGCGGAAGAUGUAACGGGGCUAAACCAUGCACCGAAGCUGCGGCAGCGACACUAUGUGUUGUUGGGUAGGGGAGCGUUCUGUAAGCCUGUGAAGGUGUGCUGUGAGGCAUGCUGGAGGUAUCAGAAGUGCGAAUGCUGACAUAAGUAACGAUAAAGCGGGUGAAAAGCCCGCUCGCCGGAAGACCAAGGGUUCCUGUCCAACGUUAAUCGGGGCAGGGUGAGUCGACCCCUAAGGCGAGGCCGAAAGGCGUAGUCGAUGGGAAACAGGUUAAUAUUCCUGUACUUGGUGUUACUGCGAAGGGGGGACGGAGAAGGCUAUGUUGGCCGGGCGACGGUUGUCCCGGUUUAAGCGUGUAGGCUGGUUUUCCAGGCAAAUCCGGAAAAUCAAGGCUGAGGCGUGAUGACGAGGCACUACGGUGCUGAAGCAACAAAUGCCCUGCUUCCAGGAAAAGCCUCUAAGCAUCAGGUAACAUCAAAUCGUACCCCAAACCGACACAGGUGGUCAGGUAGAGAAUACCAAGGCGCUUGAGAGAACUCGGGUGAAGGAACUAGGCAAAAUGGUGCCGUAACUUCGGGAGAAGGCACGCUGAUAUGUAGGUGAAGCGACUUGCUCGUGGAGCUGAAAUCAGUCGAAGAUACCAGCUGGCUGCAACUGUUUAUUAAAAACACAGCACUGUGCAAACACGAAAGUGGACGUAUACGGUGUGACGCCUGCCCGGUGC